AAGUCGUAACAAGGUUUCCGUAGGUGAACCUGCGGAAGGAUCAUUAAUGAAUAAUCCUUUACGGAUUCAAUCCGUAUCCACCCCAUGUGAACUGUUAACUGUCUUAUGUCUCGCUCAACCAGUAUGGUCUCUUCGGAGCUGUUUCUGGGUGGGCGGACGUAGUAUAUAAUAAACCUGAUUUUUAACUUGUCUGAAGUAAAUUAAUUAAACUUAAUUAAUUACAACUUUCAACAACGGAUCUCUUGGCUCCU
This 251-nucleotide unclassified non-coding RNA is filed under the name fungal sp. RNAcentral describes it as "partial internal transcribed spacer region". The stretch from base 1 to 46 matches the Rfam family "Eukaryotic small subunit ribosomal RNA", at positions 1786 to 1831 of the family's 1831-position model. The record is from RNAcentral. Lineage: Eukaryota; Fungi.